CACAUUGACUAAGUUAUACUGUGUAAACUUACACUUCAGAAUAUCAACCAUCUAUUCCUGUAUUAUAAAGUAAUAUACUAAUGUGAUACAGUAGUGCAGGAAUACUUUUCUCCUGUUCAUUCAUUGUGGAGAUUCUGUACAGAAUUCAGUGUUCCAAUUUAGCAUGAUUUAUGCUUUAACUUCCUUUGAGAUGGUUAUUCAAAUAUACACUCUGUUUAUGAAUGUGAGAAGUUUAGCACAUGACCAUAGACCAGUAAAUAUUCCUUGUUAUUUUUGUAGUCUCUAAAAUUCAGUUUGAUUCUGCAUGAGAUUUCUGGGACUCUGAUAGACAAAUUAAAAUAACCCUUUUAUUCUAACAGACAGACUCCUAUGUGAAAUAUUGUCUAAAAUUAUUUCAAAGUUGUUGCUGUGCAACUUUCCUGGAGAUCAAAGUCUUUCUUUGUUGACAUUAUUCAUUACAGUAUACCACACCUACAACAUACUGCUUAGCAAGGUCAUUAGUGCUUACAUGAUUCAGUUAUUAUAAUUGCUUACCUAAUUGUGACAGAAUGGGGACUGUGGGGAUUGUAUUCUCCUUGUUAUGUUGCAGGUGAUUUCUACUGUCCUGUAGUAACCCCAUGUAUGUGCCUCAGUUUCCCAGUAUUUAGAUGUUGAUGGGAAUUUUGGUGUGAUAGCCUUCCCCACAUGUAUAAUGGCUGAUGCUUUUUGUAACCUGAGCCCGGGGGAGGUGUAACCAGGUGAUACCUUUUGCCCAGGAAACAGGACAAAGGCCAGAGGCGGGGCAGGCUGCUGGGCACGUGACUUAAUCUUGUUAGCCUGGGGUUUCCCCAAGAUGGAUUGUACUGAUCACUUCUGGUUACUCUGCUGACAAGUCUAUUCUUUGCUGUGUCCCUGCUGACAAAUAAAUCUUCUAUUC
Pelodiscus sinensis (Chinese soft-shelled turtle) is the source of this 916-nucleotide non-coding RNA. The record is from RefSeq and is a predicted model, not a curated record. Lineage: Eukaryota; Metazoa; Chordata; Testudines; Trionychidae.